RNAcentral lists this long non-coding RNA (263 nucleotides) under Zostera marina. Its description in RNAcentral is "long non-coding RNA (ZMAR_LNC005197)". Lineage: Eukaryota; Viridiplantae; Streptophyta; Magnoliopsida; Alismatales; Zosteraceae. The record is from RNAcentral.
UGGCUCGUCAGAAUGAAGAAUUUAUGGCUCGUCAAAUGGCGUUUUCCAACAAUACAACUCCGCAAUGCUCGCUCAAAAUCCGAACUUGCGCUUACCGGAGUUUCCGCCAAUCUUCAACAACGAUGCAGCGCAGAACAUUUAUACUCCUGGAGCGUCAUCUUCUAGAGCCGCCGCACCGCCUACUCAACUACCAACGCAAGAAACUACGACGCCUCUACAAACUACGCCACAAGAGGAGCACACCACUUCACAACCGCGCGGAG